UUGACCAAAAAGUUUGGUCAGGUUUUUCCAUAACAGCGUAUGGAAAAACCUGAAAGAAAUUUUUGGCUAA
Molecule: microRNA precursor, 70 nt
Filed under: Tursiops truncatus (common bottlenose dolphin)
Lineage: Eukaryota; Metazoa; Chordata; Mammalia; Artiodactyla; Delphinidae
Description: miRNA (ENSTTRG00000024961.1)
Source: RNAcentral